GACGAACGCUGGCGGCGUGCCUAAUACAUGCAAGUAGAACGCACAGUUUAUACCGUAGCUUGCUACACCAUAAACUGUGAGUUGCGAACGGGUGAGUAACGCGUAGGUAACCCGCCUGGUAGCGGGGGAUAACUAUUGGAAACGAUAGCUAAUACCGCAUAAUAUUGAUUAUUGCAUGAUAAUUGAUUGAAAGAUGCUAUUGCAUCACUACCAGAUGGACCUGCGUUGUAUUAGCUAGUAGGUGAGGUAACGGCUCACCUAGGCGACGAUACAUAGCCGACCUGAGAGGGUGGUCGGCCACCCUGGGACUGUGACACGGCCCAGACUCCUACGGGAGGCAGCAGUAGGGAAUCUUCGGCAAUGGACGAAAGUCUGACCGAGCAACGCCGCGUGAGUGAAGAAGGUUUUCGGAUCGUAAAGCUCUGUUGUAAGGGAAGAACGGGUGUGAGAGUGGAAAGUUCACACUGUGACGGUAUCUUACCAGAAAGGGACGGCUAACUACGUG
This 505-nucleotide ribosomal RNA is filed under the name uncultured bacterium. RNAcentral's name for it is "partial 16S ribosomal RNA". It matches the Rfam family "Bacterial small subunit ribosomal RNA", at positions 28 to 507 of the family's 1533-position model. The record is from RNAcentral.